CUUUUAGCUCAAUGGCUGAGCGUUGGCUUUGAGAGCCCCAGGUCGGUGGUUCGAACCCACCAGGG
This is a non-coding RNA of Phytophthora infestans T30-4, 65 nucleotides long. The record is from Rfam. NCBI's taxonomy places the organism in Eukaryota, Oomycota, Peronosporomycetes, Peronosporales, Peronosporaceae.